UACGUAGGGGGCAAGCGUUGUCCGGAUUUAUUGGGCGUAAAGAGCGUGUAGGCGGCCAGAUAAGUCCGCUGUGAAAUCUCGAGGCUCAACUUCGAGCUGUCGGUGGAAACUGUCUGGCUAGAGUCCGGAAGAGGAGAGUGGAAUUCCUGGUGUAGCGGUGAAAUGCGCAGAUAUCAGGAAGAACACCCGUGGCUAAGGCGGCUCUCUAGUACGGUACUGACGCUGAGGAGCGAAAGCGUGGGGAGCGAACAGG
This 253-nucleotide ribosomal RNA is filed under the name uncultured bacterium. RNAcentral's name for it is "partial 16S ribosomal RNA". It matches the Rfam family "Bacterial small subunit ribosomal RNA", at positions 524 to 776 of the family's 1533-position model. The record is from RNAcentral.